This 369-nucleotide ribosomal RNA is filed under the name Coprobacillus sp. RNAcentral describes it as "bacterial SSU rRNA". It matches the Rfam family "Bacterial small subunit ribosomal RNA", at positions 1 to 375 of the family's 1533-position model. Lineage: Bacteria; Bacillati; Bacillota; Erysipelotrichia; Erysipelotrichales; Coprobacillaceae. The record is from RNAcentral.
AAUGGAGAGUUUGAUCCUGGCUCAGGAUGAACGCUGGCGGCGUGCCUAAUACAUGCAAGUCGAACGCACUGAUUUUAUCAGUGAGUGGCGAACGGGUGAGUAAUACAUAAGUAACCUGCCCUCAUGAGGGGGAUAACUAUUAGAAAUGAUAGCUAAGACCGCAUAGGUGAAGGGGUCGCAUGACCGCUUCAUUAAAUAUCCGUAUGGAUAGCAGGAGGAUGGACUUAUGGCGCAUUAGCUGGUUGGUGAGGUAACGGCUCACCAAGGCGACGAUGCGUAGCCGACCUGAGAGGGUGGACGGCCACACUGGGACUGAGACACGGCCCAGACUCCUACGGGAGGCAGCAGUAGGGAAUUUUCGGCAAUGGG